Molecule: ribosomal RNA, 432 nt
Filed under: uncultured bacterium
Lineage: Bacteria
Description: partial 16S ribosomal RNA
Rfam family: Bacterial small subunit ribosomal RNA
Source: RNAcentral
AACGAACGCUGGCGGCAUGCCUAACACAUGCAAGUCGAACGAACCCUUCGGGGUUAGUGGCGCACGGGUGCGUAACGCGUGGGAAUCUGCCCUUUGCUUCGGAAUAACUCAGGGAAACUUGUGCUAAUACCGGAUGAUGUCUUCGGACCAAAGAUUUAUCGGCAAGGGAUGAGCCCGCGUAGGAUUAGGUAGUUGGUGGGGUAAGGCCUACCAAGCCGACGAUCCUUAGCUGGUCUGAGAGGAUGAUCAGCCACACUGGGACUGAGACACGGCCCAGACUCCUACGGGAGGCAGCAGUGGGGAAUAUUGGACAAUGGGCGCAAGCCUGAUCCAGCAAUGCCGCGUGAGUGAUGAAGGCCCUCGGGUCGUAAAGCUCUUUUACCAGGGAUGAUAAUGACAGUACCUGGAGAAUAAGCUCCGGCUAACUCCGUG